GACAGAGGUGCCGAGCGUUAGGCGGAAUCACUGGGCUUAAAGCGUGUGUAGGCGGGCGGGCAAGUACCUUGUGAAAUCCCACGGCUCAACCGUGGAACGGCUAGGUAUACUGCCUGUCUUGAGCCAACUAGGGGCGAGCGGAACAGACGGUGGAGCGGUGAAAUGCGUAGAUAUCGUCUGGAACGCCGAAGGUGAAAACAGCUCGCUGGGGUUGUGCUGACGCUGAGACACGAAAGCCAGGGGAGCGAACGGG
RNAcentral lists this ribosomal RNA (253 nucleotides) under uncultured bacterium. Its description in RNAcentral is "partial 16S ribosomal RNA". It matches the Rfam family "Bacterial small subunit ribosomal RNA", at positions 524 to 776 of the family's 1533-position model. The record is from RNAcentral.